This 22-nucleotide microRNA is filed under the name Acyrthosiphon pisum (pea aphid). RNAcentral describes it as "api-miR-184b". Its record names the gene api-miR-184b. The record is from miRBase by way of RNAcentral. Lineage: Eukaryota; Metazoa; Arthropoda; Insecta; Hemiptera; Aphididae.
UGGACGGAGAACUGAUAAAGGA